Molecule: ribosomal RNA, 517 nt
Filed under: uncultured Diversispora
Lineage: Eukaryota; Fungi; Glomeromycota; Glomeromycetes; Diversisporales; Diversisporaceae
Description: SSU rRNA
Rfam family: Eukaryotic small subunit ribosomal RNA
Source: RNAcentral
AGCAGCCGCGGUAAUUCCAGCUCCAAUAGCGUAUAUUAAAGUUGUUGCAGUUAAAAAGCUCGUAGUUGAACUUCGGGGUCUACCCAUUGGUCAGGCUUAAUUGUCUGCACUGGUGAGAUGGAUCUCUACCUUCUGAGGAACUUUCAUGCCAUUUAUUUGGUGUGAUGGGAAAUCAGGACUGUUACUUUGAAAAAAUUAGGGUGUUUAAAGCAGACUAUCGUCUGAAUACAUUAGCAUGGAAUAAUGAAAUAGGACGGACUGAUUCUAUUUCGUCGGUUUCUAGGAUCACCGUAAUGAUUAAUAGGGAUAGUUGGGGGCAUUAGUAUUCAAUUGUCAGAGGUGAAAUUCUUGGAUUUAUUGAAGUACUAACUACUGCGAAAGCAUUUGCCAAGGAUGUUUUCAUUAAUCAAGAACGAAAGUUAGGGGAUCGAAGACGAUCAGAUACCCGUCGUAGUCUUAAACCAUAAACUAUGCCGACUAGGGAUCGGAACGAAGUUAAUUUUAUAAUGACGCGUUC